RNAcentral lists this long non-coding RNA (307 nucleotides) under Homo sapiens (human). RNAcentral describes it as "HSALNT0233180". Lineage: Eukaryota; Metazoa; Chordata; Mammalia; Primates; Hominidae. The record is from RNAcentral.
CCUGACCUCAAGUAAUCUGCCUGCCUCAGCCUCCCAAAGUACUGGGAUUACAGGUAUGAGCCACUGCACCUAGCCAAUGGUCCAGUUUGCAUUCUGUGUUUAUGACAACAUUUUAAGGGAUAUUUACUUUAUCUCUACAAACACACCCUUCUUGGAUAUAAGUAGUUCUUUUUAAUAAACACUUCUUCUACCUCCAGCUCCCUAUUCUUUCCUACCAUUUGGAAAACUGGCCAUUCAGCAAACCAGCCUCUCACCUUACAGGAACCAUAUCCACCCCAAGUGCAGAGCUGUGCCCACCUGACUCAGA